Pseudophryne corroboree (corroboree frog) is the source of this 432-nucleotide long non-coding RNA. RefSeq lists it as uncharacterized. NCBI's taxonomy places the organism in Eukaryota, Metazoa, Chordata, Amphibia, Anura, Myobatrachidae. The record is from RefSeq and is a predicted model, not a curated record. The transcript has 3 exons.
CAGAGUUACAGCCAGGGCCGGCGCUACCACUAGGCAGCUUUAGGCAGCUGCCUAUGGGCGGCGACCACUGGAGGGCGGCACCGCACAGUGAAUGAAAGAGAGAACGCUUCAGCUCAGCUAAACUCCUCCGUGCUGCCACAGACAGUGAAGUGAACAUUCCAGGAGCCAGAACAUUGGACACAGGAGGCCGGGGACAUUGGAACUGUCGCUGCUGCUACUACUACUUCAGGUGCUGAUGGAGCUCGAGGAGGAGCGUGGGGGCGGCACCUUCACCCAGGCAGGAAAGGGCUUUCCUAACCGUCGGCUGAUCUGUCCCCCUCACAGCCAGGGUCUUCAAGGGCGACAUCCCUUAUCUGUAGCCACAGCAUCAGUCUGAACAGAAAGGCAAGCACGGUCAGUGCUACAUUAAAGUGUGGUUGUGUAUAUACAGUA